RNAcentral lists this ribosomal RNA (253 nucleotides) under uncultured bacterium. RNAcentral describes it as "partial 16S ribosomal RNA". It matches the Rfam family "Bacterial small subunit ribosomal RNA", at positions 524 to 776 of the family's 1533-position model. The record is from RNAcentral.
UACAGAGGGUGCAAGCGUUAAUCGGAUUUACUGGGCGUAAAGGGCGCGUAGGUGGUUAUUUAAGUGAGAUGUGAAAUCCCCGGGCUCAACCUGGGAACUGCAUCUUAUACUGGGUAACUGGAGUGCAAUAGAGGGUAGUGGAAUUUCCGGUGUAGCGGUGAAAUGCGUAGAUAUCGGAAGGAACACCAGUGGCGAAGGCGGCUACCUGGAUUGACACUGACACUGAGGCGCGAGAGCGUGGGGAGCAAACAGG